GACGAACGCUGGCGGCGUGCUUAACACAUGCAAGUCGAACGGAAAGGCCCUGCUUUUGUGGGGUGCUCGAGUGGCGAACGGGUGAGUAACACGUGAGUAACCUGCCCUUGACUUUGGGAUAACUUCAGGAAACUGGGGCUAAUACCGGAUAGGAGCUCCUGCUGCAUGGUGGGGGUUGGAAAGUUUCGGCGGUUGGGGAUGGACUCGCGGCUUAUCAGCUUGUUGGUGGGGUAGUGGCUUACCAAGGCUUUGACGGGUAGCCGGCCUGAGAGGGUGACCGGGCACAUUGGGACUGAGAUACGGCCCAGAGUCCUACGGGAGGCAGCAGGGGGGAAUAUUGCACAAUGGGCGGAAGCCUGAUGCAGCAACGCCGCGUGCGGGAUGACGGCCUUCGGGUUGUAAACCGCUUUCGCCUGUGACGAAGCGUGAGUGACGGUAAUGGGUAAAGAAGCACCGGCUAACUACGUG
Molecule: ribosomal RNA, 468 nt
Filed under: uncultured bacterium
Lineage: Bacteria
Description: partial 16S ribosomal RNA
Rfam family: Bacterial small subunit ribosomal RNA
Source: RNAcentral